AAGGUGGGACGAUCUGCCGCGCUGCGGAGUUUCGGCUCCGGGUGAGGAAAGUCCGGACAGGGCAGGGCACCCUACUGGGGAAAGCCCAGAUGGGAGUAAUCUUAUGGCACCGUAACAGAAAACAACCGCCUGGCGACAGGCAAGGGUGAAAACGUGAGGCAAGAGCUCACGACGCGCGUCGGCGACGCCGCACGGGUACGAUGUCAGGGCCUGCAAGACCAAAUAUACUGGCAGAUGAGGGCUGCCCGCCCGAUGCCAGGGGGUAGGUUGCGUAGAUAAAUGGCAGAUUCAAAAACAGAAACCGGCUUACGGUCCCGCCUUUUUU
Molecule: RNase P RNA, 325 nt
Filed under: Alistipes sp.
Lineage: Bacteria; Pseudomonadati; Bacteroidota; Bacteroidia; Bacteroidales; Rikenellaceae
Also listed under: 3 other names
Description: RNase P RNA component class A
Rfam family: Bacterial RNase P class A
About the family: Ribonuclease P (RNase P) is a ubiquitous endoribonuclease, found in archaea, bacteria and eukarya as well as chloroplasts and mitochondria.
Source: RNAcentral